This 208-nucleotide unclassified non-coding RNA is filed under the name Hevea brasiliensis (rubber tree). The record is from RNAcentral. Lineage: Eukaryota; Viridiplantae; Streptophyta; Magnoliopsida; Malpighiales; Euphorbiaceae.
UUUUCAUACACAAUUGUCACCAAAAAACAUCAUGGCUGAAGAAAAGAAACAUCACUUUGGUGGUCUCUUUAACCACCACAAGAACAAAGAGGAAGACACCCCCAUUGAGAAAACUACAUAUGAAGAAACAACCUAUGAAGACAGUGAAAAAACUAGCACUUAUGGAGACAACACAUAUGGUGAAAAAACUAGUUAUGGUGAUGAUACA